CCUACGGGUGGCUGCAGUGAGGAAUAUUGGUCAAUGGGCGAGAGCCUGAACCAGCCAAGUCGCGUGAGGGAAGACGGUCCUACGGAUUGUAAACCUCUUUUGUCAGGGAGCAAGGAGCGCCACGAGUGGUGUGGCGAGAGUACCUGAAGAAAAAGCAUCGGCUAACUCCGUGCCAGCAGCCGCGGUAAUACGGAUGAUGCGAGCGUUAUUCGGUUUUAUUGGGUUUAAAGGGUGCGCAGGCCGCAUGUCAAGCGUGCUGUGAGAUGUCCGGGCUCAACCCGGGCCUUGCAGCGCGAACUGGCGUGCUUGAGUCCGCGGACAGCAGGCGGAAUUCGUCGUGUAGCGGUGAAAUGCUUAGAUAUGACGAAGAACCCCGAUUGCGAAGGCAGCUUGCUGCAGCGGAACUGACGCUGAUACUCGAAAGCGCGGGUAUCGAACAGGAUUAGAUACCCUGGUAGUC
Molecule: ribosomal RNA, 460 nt
Filed under: uncultured bacterium
Lineage: Bacteria
Description: partial 16S ribosomal RNA
Rfam family: Bacterial small subunit ribosomal RNA
Source: RNAcentral